RNAcentral lists this ribosomal RNA (429 nucleotides) under Pseudomonadota bacterium. RNAcentral describes it as "Proteobacteria bacterium partial 16S ribosomal RNA". It matches the Rfam family "Bacterial small subunit ribosomal RNA", at positions 355 to 776 of the family's 1533-position model. The record is from RNAcentral. Lineage: Bacteria; Pseudomonadati; Pseudomonadota.
UGGGGAAUAUUGGAUACUGGGCGAAAGCCUGAUCCAGCCAUGCCGCGUGUGUGAAGAAGGUCUUCGGAUUGUAAAGUACUUUAAGUUGGGAGGAAGGGCAGUAAGUGAAUACCUGGCUGUUGUGACGUUACCGACAGAAUAAGCACCGGUUAACUCUGUGCCAGCAGCCGCGGUAAUACAGAGGGUGAAAGCGGUAAUCGGAAUUACUGGGCGUAAAGCGCGCGUAGGUGGUUCGUUAAGUUGAAUGUGAAAGCCCCGGGCUCAACCUGGGAACUGCAUCCAACACUGGCGUGCUCGAGUAGGGCAGAGGGUGGUGGAAUUUCCUGUGUAGCGGUGAAAUGCGUAGAUAUAGGAAGGAACACCAGUGGCGAAGGCGACCACCUGGGCUCAUACUGACACUGAGGUGCGAAAGCGUGGGGAGCAAACAGG